Lineus longissimus is the source of this 575-nucleotide long non-coding RNA. RefSeq lists it as uncharacterized. Lineage: Eukaryota; Metazoa; Nemertea; Pilidiophora; Heteronemertea; Lineidae. The record is from RefSeq and is a predicted model, not a curated record. The transcript is spliced from 3 exons.
GCAGUGAAAAGCUUGAGGUGUUACAAAUUCAGGUAUUCUAAUAGUUUGAGUUAUUUUUCAGCCUGCAUGGUUUCAAGGAAGAUGAGAUGGAGAGAUAGAACAUAUAUCGAGAAACCUGUGUCCGUAUCAUAAAGGUCUGUGUGUGUAUCCUGAAGAGGGAUUCAGUUGACUUUUGAAGGAACAAAUAUUUCGGCUCGUCCAUCUGAUGGCACAGACUGGAAAAGAGAAAAGCUACCGCACCAUCGUUCUCCUGGUAAUCAAGCCAAGAUCAGUCCACAUGCUGAGGGUUGCAACUCAAACACCACUAACAAGAUUUCACUUUGACUAGCUGACUUACAAAAUCUGACUGGAGAAAAUGAUGAAGGAAUCUAAAAUGUUGUUGCACGGACAAGCAAUCUUAGAAUAUAAGCACCUCAACGGGAAAACCACUGGUAAUUGAAGCUGGUGGAGCGCCGUGACAUCUCUCGUAAACAAGCUGCCGUUUAUGGACAAGGAUCACGUCAACGUUGCUACACUCCUAAAGCUGUGGCUGUCUUCAGGUCUUUUCUGCCUCGUGGGCAAAUCUGCAUGCCAGU